RNAcentral lists this long non-coding RNA (397 nucleotides) under Hordeum vulgare. Its description in RNAcentral is "long non-coding RNA (HVUL_LNC018032)". The record is from RNAcentral. Lineage: Eukaryota; Viridiplantae; Streptophyta; Magnoliopsida; Poales; Poaceae.
UUUCCUCCCAUAAGCGGAGAAACUGGCUUUGUAUCGUCCGGGGCUUCGUGGGAGCUUUCGGCCGGGGAACGGAAAGGAAAGGUCGCUGCCGAACUUGACGGAUACGUCGAUGGCCACACAUGCACCCAUGGGGACUCCAUGCAUGCACGCGUCGGCGCAAGUGCAAGGAGGAUGGAUGUACCCGUGGGCAAUCGCGAUCCGGUCGUCCUAUCGCGAUGAUGGACCGGCCGCUGGAUGCGCCUGUCCAUGCUCCCAUGAGAAUCAGAUGGGUGUAAACAUGGCGCCGUUUCUUGUGGGAUACAGUGGUGCACAGUUAUCAUUGUCCCUUUGUUUUUCUCAAUCAUUGCCAUUGUUUAAUGGUCCGACUGUCGAAAUUUAAGGUAAGGUAGAGUGGAGU